This 106-nucleotide small nuclear RNA is filed under the name Piliocolobus tephrosceles (Ugandan red Colobus). The record is from RNAcentral. Lineage: Eukaryota; Metazoa; Chordata; Mammalia; Primates; Cercopithecidae.
GUGCUCACUUCAGCAGUACAUAUAUAAAAUUGGAACGAUACAGAGAAGAUUAGCAUGGCCUCUGCGUAAGGAUGACACACAAAUUCGUGAAGUGUUCCAUAUUUUU